GGCCAAUUGGCCCAAUGGGUACGAAAAUCAAUUCCCUCGCUUAUUCGAUCAAAACUAACCGACAACUACAGCAAGGCGCUUGACUACGAAUCAAGAGAUUGCAGGUUCGAUCCCUGCAUUGGUCA
Non-coding RNA from Aulographum hederae CBS 113979, 125 nucleotides. NCBI's taxonomy places the organism in Eukaryota, Fungi, Ascomycota, Dothideomycetes, Aulographales, Aulographaceae. The record is from the annotation of a GenBank genome assembly.